UAAGACGUAGGGAGCAAGCGUUGUCCGGAUUUAUUGGGCGUAAAGAGCUCGUAGGCGGUUGCGUAAGUCGGAUGUGAAAACUCAGGGCUCAACCCUGAGACGCCAUCCGAUACUGCGCUGACUUGAAUCCAGUAGGGGAGUGUGGAAUUCCUGGUGUAGCGGUGAAAUGCGCAGAUAUCAGGAGGAACACCUAUGGCGAAGGCAGCACUCUGGGCUGGUAUUGACGCUGAGGAGCGAAAGCAUGGGUAGCAAACAGGAUUAGAUACCCUGGUAGUCCAUGCCGUAAACGUUGGGCACUAGGUGUGGGGACUUUCAACGGUUUCCGUGCCGACGCUAACGCAUUAAGUGCCCCGCCUGGGGAGUACGGCCGCAAGGCUA
Molecule: ribosomal RNA, 378 nt
Filed under: uncultured bacterium
Lineage: Bacteria
Description: bacterial SSU rRNA
Rfam family: Bacterial small subunit ribosomal RNA
Source: RNAcentral